This 478-nucleotide ribosomal RNA is filed under the name uncultured bacterium. RNAcentral describes it as "partial 16S ribosomal RNA". It matches the Rfam family "Bacterial small subunit ribosomal RNA", at positions 28 to 523 of the family's 1533-position model. The record is from RNAcentral.
GACGAACGCUGGCGGCGUGCUUAACACAUGCAAGUCGAACGGUAAGGCCCUUCGGGGUACACGAGUGGCGAACGGGUGAGUAACACGUGGGUGAUCUGCCCUGCACUUCGGGAUAAGCCUGGGAAACUGGGUCUAAUACCGGAUAGGACCACUGCCUGAAUGGGCGGUGGUGGAAAGCUUUUGUGGUGUGGGAUGGGACCGCGGCCUAUCAGGUUGUUGGUGGGGUGAUGGCAGGCCAAGGCGACGACGGGUAGCCGGCCUGAGAGGGUGACCGGCCACACUGGGACUGAGAUACGGCCCAGACUCCUACGGGAGGCAGCAGUGGGGAAUAUUGCACAAUGGGCGCAAGCCUGAUGCAGCGACGCGGCGUGAGGGAUGACGGCCUUCGGGUUGUAAACCUCUUUCAGCACCGACGAAGCGCAAGUGACGGUAGGUGCAGAAGAAGGACCGGCCAACUACGUGCCAGCAGCCGCCGUAA